RNAcentral lists this long non-coding RNA (646 nucleotides) under Homo sapiens (human). The record is from RNAcentral. Lineage: Eukaryota; Metazoa; Chordata; Mammalia; Primates; Hominidae.
ACGUGCGCGCCCGGGAGCUGCACACUCUUGAAGUGACCGGCCUGGAGACGGUUGCCCAGAGCAAGGCCCAUGUAGCAUCCCUGGAGGGCCUCAUCCCUGAAGAUAAGGUUGUGCUUCUGGCAGGUUCUCCCUUACAGAAUGAAGCCACCCUGGGUCAGUGUGGGGUGGAAGCCCUGACAACCCUGGAAGUGGUUGGCCGCAGGCUAGGAGUUCACAAUGUCUAAAAGUCAGCUGAUUUUGUGUUAAAAUUCAGUGUCUGGCUUUGCUUCAAAAAUUGGGAAGAUCGGCCGGACGCGGUGGCUCACGCCUGUAAUCUCAGCACUUUGGGAGGCCGAGUGGGAAAAUGAAAGAUGGAUUGAUAGCGCCGCGUGUUUCAAGAGAAGUGGGAGCAAGCAUAUUUCUUUGUGGAAGUAUAGUCCUAUGUGUUUAAUAUGUAACCAAACUUUGUCUGUGUCAAAAGAAUACAACUGAAGAUGUCAUUAUGAAACAAACCAUGGUGAGAAUUUUGACUAGUUUACAGAAAAGAUGCAUGAUGAAAAACUCAAUGAACUUAGAAAAGGACUAAACUUUCUACAGCAUUAAUCAUCGAAUACAAAUAAAAUAAGUGAUGCUGCUGUGAAAUGCAGUUACAUAAUAAGUGAAAAAA